Molecule: ribosomal RNA, 465 nt
Filed under: uncultured bacterium
Lineage: Bacteria
Description: bacterial SSU rRNA
Rfam family: Bacterial small subunit ribosomal RNA
Source: RNAcentral
CCUACGGGGUGCAGCAGUGGGGAAUAUUGCACAAUGGGCGCAAGCCUGAUGCAGCCAUGCCGCGUGUGUGAAGAAGGCCUUCGGGUUGUAAAGCACUUUCAGCGAGGAGGAAGGUGGUGAGCUUAAUACGUUCAUCAAUUGACGUUACUCGCAGAAGAAGCACCGGCUAACUCCGUGCCAGCAGCCGCGGUAAUACGGAGGGUGCAAGCGUUAAUCGGAAUUACUGGGCGUAAAGCGCACGCAGGCGGUUUGUUAAGUCAGAUGUGAAAUCCCCGGGCUCAACCUGGGAACUGCAUUUGAAACUGGCAAGCUAGAGUCUCGUAGAGGGGGGUAGAAUUCCAGGUGUAGCGGUGAAAUGCGUAGAGAUCUGGAGGAAUACAGGUGGCGAAGGCGGCCCCCUGGACGAAGACUGACGCUGAGGCGCGACAGCGUGGGGAGCAAACAGGAUUAGAUACCCCAGUAGUC